This 462-nucleotide ribosomal RNA is filed under the name uncultured bacterium. RNAcentral describes it as "partial 16S ribosomal RNA". It matches the Rfam family "Bacterial small subunit ribosomal RNA", at positions 28 to 507 of the family's 1533-position model. The record is from RNAcentral.
GACGAACGCUGGCGGCGUGCUUAACACAUGCAAGUCGAACGGUGAAGCCCUUCGGGGUGGAUCAGUGGCGAACGGGGGAGUAACACGUGCGCAACCUGCCCCUGUCUCUGGGACAACCACUGGAAACGGUGGCUAAUACCGUAUACGACCAGCCUCGGCAUCGAGUGUGGGUGGAAAGUUUUUCGGUUGGGGAUGGGCUCGCGGCCUAUCAGCUUGUCGGUGAGGUGUAGGCUCACCAAGGCGACGACGGGUAGCCGGCCUGAGAGGGCGACCGGCCACACUGGGACUGGGACACGGCCCAGACUCCUACCGGAGGCAGCAGUGGGGAAUAUUGCACAAUGGGCGGAAGCCUGAUGCAGCGACGCCGCGUGGGGGAUGACGGCCUUCGGGUUGUAAACCUCUUUCAGCUCCGAAGAAGCGAAAGUGACGGUAGGAGCAGAAGAAGCACCGGCUAACUACGUG